Patella vulgata (common limpet) is the source of this 1312-nucleotide long non-coding RNA. RefSeq lists it as uncharacterized. Lineage: Eukaryota; Metazoa; Mollusca; Gastropoda; Patellidae. The transcript has 2 exons. The record is from RefSeq and is a predicted model, not a curated record.
CAUUAAUUUAGUGUUUUAUGCCGGCUGACUAACGGUAUCUCAUUAAGGAAUCAAGCCUGUAUAACUAUGCUGAUGACAACACCUUCUUCUUCCAAUAAUGUGCCGGGUUCUGAGUUGAACAUAUUCGCACGUUCGCACAUGUAGUUUCUGGCAUGACUCCUUUGAUAUAAAGAAAGAUACAUUAGAAAACGAGGGUAGUUGUUUAGUAGAUUGGUUUACGAAUAAAAAUAUGCAAGCCAAUCCUGAUAAAUUCCAAGGCCUUGCCAUUGGUAAGAAAACGCAUAACAUGAAGCCAGUAUUCAAUAUCAAUGGUAUAAAUAUUGAGUUCACUGAGGAUGUAAAACUCCUAGGAGUAGACAUUGAUUACCAAAUGAAUUUUAACACAUACAUUGGAAACAUCUGUCGUAAGGCUUCAAAGCAAAUAAAUGUUCUACCAAUCACAUGUAGAAAACAAACUGAUCCAUCACUCAUUUAUUAUGUCUACUUUUAAUUUCUGUCCAUUGGUAUGGCAUAAUUGUGGUAAAAGAAACUCAGACAAAUUAGAAAAGCUACACUUCAGAGCUCUUAAGAUUUUUAUAGUCCAUAUUAUGAUGAAGUAAUAUCAAAAGCAGGUGUCAGUACUUUAGAAAUUAGACGCAUGAGACUAUUAGCCAUUGAGGUUUUUAAAAUUCUAGCUGGAGACAGACCUGCAUAUAUGUCACAUUUAAUAUCUGUUAAAAAAAUUAUAUUAUAGUUGUCGCUAUUCAAACCUACUUCAGGUACCGAAUGUUAAUUCGGAAAAACAUGGAAAAUAUUCAUUUGAAUUCCAAGCUGACAAGAUUUGGAAUAGCUUACCACAACAUUUCAGAACAACCACUAAGUUUGGUUUAUUUAAAAAGCUACUGUUAACUUGGAAUGGAACAGAAUGUAAAUGUUCAAUGUGAUAUUUCUUCGGUCCGGUGACGUCAAUAUGUUUUUGUUGGAUUCACAAUCCAUUUAUGAUGAUGUGACGAUAUCAACGGUAAACGUAUCUUAUUUUAGACCCAGAGCAUUGGUUGCAGUUUCUUCGUCCUAACAGUUACAUACGUUUGUUGUUAUUUAUGACGUCUGUAUAAUUUAUGAUGUGAUGGUUGAUUCACAGAUGUGCAUGUGAUUGAAAUCUAAUCUAAGUAUGUUCGUAAUACCUAUUCAGUAGUGACUAGUAUUUAAGAUAAACGUUAUAUAAGCUUCAAGUAUGCACAUUAUUUGAGUAUUUAAGACGAGCAUGAUAUUUUGUAAACUUUGUAUCCACUUUAAACAGUUAGUUUUAAUAAAUUUUGUCAGCAGUAACAAA